UCUCAUCAAUUAACUAAUUUUUUUUUCUAAAAAAUCAAUUUCUCUCCCCCUCGUAACUCAAAUCAAACAAAAAAACUAGUGACCAUAAACAAUUUCUCACACUGGUUUUAUGGUUUAGUGUGGUUAUCUCUUCUCGAUGCUAGAAUCUUGCACAAGUUUUAUCCAGAUCUAGAUCCAAAACAGCAAAACUCAUGUCUACAUCUCAAUGUAAAAUUCAAGAUCUAUAUUAUAUAGUUUGGUAAAA
RNAcentral lists this long non-coding RNA (244 nucleotides) under Populus trichocarpa (black cottonwood). Its description in RNAcentral is "long non-coding RNA (PTRI_LNC003789)". Lineage: Eukaryota; Viridiplantae; Streptophyta; Magnoliopsida; Malpighiales; Salicaceae. The record is from RNAcentral.